RNAcentral lists this ribosomal RNA (250 nucleotides) under uncultured bacterium. RNAcentral describes it as "partial 16S ribosomal RNA". It matches the Rfam family "Bacterial small subunit ribosomal RNA", at positions 527 to 776 of the family's 1533-position model. The record is from RNAcentral.
GUAGGGGGCAGGCGUUAAUCGGAAUUACUGGGCGUAAAGCGUGCGCAGGCGGUUUCUUAAGUCAGAUGUGAAAGCCCCGGGCUUAACCUGGGAACUGCGUUUGAAACUGGGAGACUUGAGUGUGGCAGAGGGGGGUGGAAUUCCACGUGUAGCAGUGAAAUGCGUAGAUAUGUGGAGGAACACCGAUGGCGAAGGCAGCCCCCUGGGUUAACACUGACGCUCAUGCACGAAAGCGUGGGGAGCAAACAGG